UACGGAGGGUGCGAGCGUUGUCCGGAAUCACUGGGCGUAAAGGGCGCGUAGGUGGCGCGGUCAGUCAACGGUGAAAGUUCGGGGCUCAACCCUGAAUCGGCCGUCGAUACUCCCGUGCUUGAGCACUGUAGAGGCAGAUGGAAUUCCGGGUGUAGCGGUGGAAUGCGUAGAGAUCCGGAAGAACACCGGUGGCGAAGGCGGUCUGCUGGGCAGUUGCUGACACUGAGGCGCGACAGCGUGGGGAGCAAACAGG
Molecule: ribosomal RNA, 253 nt
Filed under: uncultured bacterium
Lineage: Bacteria
Description: partial 16S ribosomal RNA
Rfam family: Bacterial small subunit ribosomal RNA
Source: RNAcentral